CUGGCAGUGUCAAAAUGCUUAGAACACUGUUAAACAUGCAAAACUUUUCGACAGUUUCGUGCGGUUGUUUCAAAGAAGCUGUUCACCACCGACGCUACCGAGAUUUUCAACAAUUCCGCUACAGAAUCAACGAAAAAGAUGCGGAAGAGUUGGGAGAGUCAAAGGCGUGUAAUAUCUGGUUUUAGCAGUGUAAGUGUAACAAAUGUUUCCACAAAGGUAAAAGAAUUUAAAUUUAUUCAAAUUCGAACUUUUUUUGCGCACGCGGUGUGCGA
Long non-coding RNA from Dalotia coriaria, 272 nucleotides. RefSeq lists it as uncharacterized. Lineage: Eukaryota; Metazoa; Arthropoda; Insecta; Coleoptera; Staphylinidae. The transcript has 2 exons. The record is from RefSeq and is a predicted model, not a curated record.